This is a long non-coding RNA of Carassius gibelio (silver crucian carp), 995 nucleotides long. RefSeq lists it as uncharacterized. The record is from RefSeq and is a predicted model, not a curated record. The transcript has 6 exons. NCBI's taxonomy places the organism in Eukaryota, Metazoa, Chordata, Actinopteri, Cypriniformes, Cyprinidae.
AUUUAUUUAAAUUAUUCGUACGUCUCUGUUUAAAAAUGAUUGGUCGCGCUUGAAAUUCUGCCUUGACAACAGCGCCGAUUGGCCAAUAUAACACAAGGCGGGAAUUGUUUGUCGAAUUUGCUGAAGACGCAGCACUGACUGCGGUUCACAAUCAUUUGCAGGAACACCUGAAAGAAGAAAUAAAUAAUACAGUUUAAAGUUAAAUAGCGGGCCAGCUGCACAAGCAGCCAGACAGGCGUUAAAGCAGGCGGGAAGAGAGUCGUCGUGAAAGACCCAGAGUACGCUGGGACAGUAACAUUAGCAGGCAGGUGGUUAUGAAGCAGACGAGGAGGGGGAAGAGUCGAGGCCACAGGAGUAACGUUACGCUGGUCUACGUGGAGUUUAAUAGGAUUGCUGGUAAGAUCUUGAAAAGGGAAUUUUACGAGACCCUUGACCAACAUAGUACAUGGCUCUUGGACAUUUUCAGAGCCAGAACGGGAGUUGCUGGUCAGCUCUUGAUGAACCUUCUGAAGCAACAAAGCUAUCAGAGCCAACUGAAACUGAACUUUGGUGCUUCAAGGACUACCCCUUUGGUUUGGAGAUGACUCCUGCUUUCUUUAAGAUGUGUUUGAUGUCCGAUGAUCACCGCUCAAUUCUUUAUGUGCCAGUGGGGAUUUUGAUAGUUGAAGAUGGGACAAGAUGGGUCUCCCUCUUCGAUUGGAAUCGUAAUCGAGGGAAAAUUAGUGAUGGACAAUCUACAUGACCUUCCUGAAGAAGCAAUGUGCCUUAUGUUCGGACUUCUAUAUGCAUUGCACCUGAGUUACCCAAAGUCACUGGGAUACAUGUUUGACUUCAUUCAGUGGAUUCUACUUUCCUUGGGGCAGAAAGACCUGCAGCCUAAAACACAAUCGUUGGCAAACCAGCUGUUUGGCUAAAAUCGAGAAAUUGCUUGGCGCACUUUUAAUUGCAACACAUUUACAUUAAACAUGGUCUUUUGAAAAUGAGACUUAAAAAUA